Molecule: ribosomal RNA, 498 nt
Filed under: uncultured bacterium
Lineage: Bacteria
Description: bacterial SSU rRNA
Rfam family: Bacterial small subunit ribosomal RNA
Source: RNAcentral
GAUGAACGCUAGCGGCAGGCCUAAUACAUGCAAGACGAACGGUAAGUUGAGUAGCAAUACUUAGCCAAGAGUGUCGUACGGGUGCGUAACACGUAUGCAACCUACCCUAUACAGGAGGAUAGCCUAGGGAAACCUGGAUUAACCCUUCAUAGUAUUAUUGGAUGGCAUCAUUUGAUAAUUAAAACUGAGGUGGUAUAGGAUGGGCAUGCGUCUGAUUAGUUAGUUGGCGGGUAAUGGCCCACCAAGACGAUGAUCAGUAGGGGUUCUGAGAGGAAGAUCCCCCACACUGGCACUGAGAUACGGGCCAGACUCCUACGGGAGCAGCAGUAGGGAAUAUUGGUCAAUGGAUGCAAGUCUGAACCAGCCAUGCCGCGUGCAGGAAGAAGGCCUUCUGGGUUGUAAACUGCUUUUGCCAGGGGAUAAAAUUUCCAUGCGUGGAAAACUGAAGGUACCUGGUGAAUAAGCCACGGCUAACUACGUGCCAGCAGCCGCGGUAAU